This is a long non-coding RNA of Penaeus monodon (black tiger shrimp), 481 nucleotides long. RefSeq lists it as uncharacterized. The record is from RefSeq and is a predicted model, not a curated record. NCBI's taxonomy places the organism in Eukaryota, Metazoa, Arthropoda, Malacostraca, Decapoda, Penaeidae. The transcript is spliced from 3 exons.
GUUCCGGCAAACGUAUGGAUGUCCUCACCCGCGGCGUUCUUCUCGCGAUUAUCCCCUAACUCCUCGUCUGUCACAGGCAAGAGUCGUACCCUCAUUACAAGCAAUGCAUGCCUCUCGUAUAGAAUAUGAGAAUAUUCUGUCAAGAUGGGUGAUGGAAUGCUGUCCUUGUCAUGGAAUAACCACAAAGCUACAUUCUGCCACAUUCUCUCUACACUCAGAGAAAAGGAGAGAUAUACAGACGUGACCCUGGCAUGUGAAGGAAAAUUCUACCCUGUUCACAAACUGGUGCUGUCAACAUGUAGUGAUUAUUUUGGGAAAAUAUGUUUGAACACACACCGUGUAAGCAUCCAAUAAUAGUGUUGAAAGACGUUAAACCAGAUGAGCUAGAAGCUCUUCUUAGUUAUAUGUAUGCAGGUGUUGUGAAUGUCGCACAAAAUGACCUGGCAAGAUUAAUCAAGGGGCAGCGAGCUCCUCAGUUUAA